Molecule: RNA transcript, 972 nt
Organism: Papilio xuthus (Asian swallowtail)
Lineage: Eukaryota; Metazoa; Arthropoda; Insecta; Lepidoptera; Papilionidae
Exons: 5
Source: RefSeq, a predicted model, not a curated record
AGAAAGGUAAAUCGAAAUGUCUUAUUGAAUGACAGCCGAAUUGUAAAACAAAAUUUAGAUUUUUAUAUUUUGUGUUUAAGUUUUUAGAAUAAUUUUUUUACAUCUUUACGUUGUGAAUGUAUUUAUAUUUAAUUUAGCGGUUGAAAUAUAUAAAUGUACCAAUCGAGAGCAAGAAAGCCAUCAGCAAAUGUACUGAAGCCAGCUGGAUUGCCGGCACCUAACGAUAUAAAGGAAUGCAAGGUUAAUGUUGAUGAAACACGGAAACGAAGUAAAAGUAAAUAUAAUAUCCCAAAAAAUCUGCGCUACGAUUUAGAAAAUGCGUUGGUUAACUUGUGUGAUGUAUGGUUUGAAGAAAUUAAGCCGUAUUUAGUUCGCAAUAAUGUGAAAGUACACGUUCAAGAUGAUGAAACGAAUACAGCAUCGGGUGGGAAUAAUUACUCAACGCUUGACACCGCAAAGCUGACUAGAAAUCGAAGCGCUAAUCCUGAGAGGACGAAUUGCUCACAUCUUGAUCCAGCCUCGUCUUCAAGUUGGUGUACGCUCUGCCGGUUGCUGUACAACGCGUCGUGUGGCAUCGAGAGCGCGUUCGCACAAGCAGCCGUCGCCGUCCCGCUCACCGCCCCGACCGCCGCCGCGCCCGCCGCCACCCACGCUGCGAAUACCACCGCUACAGUUGUCGGAGAGCCCCAGCAAUGAAAAUAUAAAGAAGUUACCUGUUAAACGUCGUAGUAAGAAGAAGAGGCGCCCCAAUUCGCCGAUAGCACUGCGGAAUCAUAACCGUAUACCAAGACUGUGUAAUACGAUGGACAUCAAUUAUGACACCGCGAAACUUGCCAGAUAUUAAAAACGUUAGUCAGUCUAUAGUAACAUGUCAGAAAAGUUAAAUGAACUCGCGACAAAUAUAUAAACACUUCAAAAUUUUAUAAAAUGUAGUCAAGAAAUACAUUUCCUUUUAUAUCAUUUUGUAAAUAU